UUACCCAAUCGUGAUGUGGUUAUUGCAAUCUUAACUUUUUGAUUGGCAGGGCAAUAUUUUUGUUGCCCUUUUUAUUUU
Mangrovibacter sp. MFB070 is the source of this 78-nucleotide regulatory RNA element. It matches the Rfam family "ABC transporter regulator". From Rfam's summary of the family: DapZ sRNA, encoded in the 3'-UTR of the conserved dapB gene, as a translational repressor with a GcvB-like seed domain. This is the first example of a widely conserved bacterial gene whose 3'-UTR has dual function. NCBI's taxonomy places the organism in Bacteria, Pseudomonadati, Pseudomonadota, Gammaproteobacteria, Enterobacterales, Enterobacteriaceae. The record is from Rfam.